AACCUAGCACACCUGCGGUGUGUACCUGCGGAGGGAUCAUUACACAAUACAAUAUGAAGGCUGUCCGCAGCUGGAGUAUUUUAUUACCCUUGUCUUUUGCGCACUUGUUGUUUCCUGGGCGGGUUCGCUCGCCACCAGGACCACCAAAUAAACCUUUUUUAUGCAGUUGCAAUCAGCGUCAGUACAAACAAUGUAAAUCAUUUACAACUUUCAACAAUGGAUCUCAGAUCGGAAGAGCAC
RNAcentral lists this unclassified non-coding RNA (240 nucleotides) under soil metagenome. RNAcentral describes it as "partial contains 5.8S ribosomal RNA, internal transcribed spacer 2, and large subunit ribosomal RNA". The record is from RNAcentral.